AAAUACUUUUGUGUAAAAUCAAAGAAAUGGAUAAGGAAAAGGUAACAGUUGAAGAUGAAAAACAGGAAGAAUUAGACAAAAUGGAGUCAGAAACUGUAGAAAGUCCAGUUCCUCUGUCUGGUGUUCCAAAUGAAGGAAAGAAACCAACUUGCAUAAUUGUACUUGGAAUGGCAGGUUCAGGAAAAACAACAUGGGUUCAAAGAAUUACUGCUCAUCUACAUUCUAGAAAAUGUAUGCCAUAUGUUGUUAAUCUUGAUCCAGCUUGUUUAGAAGUACCAUACCCUGUGAAUAUUGAUAUACGAGACACCGUGAACUAUAAGGAAGUCAUGAAACAGUAUAAAUUAGGUCCAAAUGGAGGAAUAAUCACUUCAUUAAAUUUAUUUUCUACAAAAUUUGAUCAAGUUCUAAAAUUUAUUGAGAGAAGAAGUGCUCAACAAGAGUUUGUCAUCUUUGAUACACCAGGACAAAUUGAAGUAUUUACAUGGUCUGCUUCAGGAACUAUCAUAACAGAGUCACUUGCUUCUCUGUUUCCUACAGUUAUUGUAUAUGUUAUGGACAUAAACAGAAAUGUCAACCCUGUAACAUUUAUGGCAAAUAUGUUAUAUGCCUGUAGUAUUGUAUAUAAAACUAAACUUCCAUUUGUGGUUGCAAUGAACAAGAUUGAUGUUGUGGAUCAUCAUUUUGCUCUUGAUUGGAUGCAAAAUUUUGAAUCAUUUCAAGAAGCAUUGCAGAAUGAAACAUCUUAUAUCUCAAAUUUAACGAGAUCGAUGAGUUUGGUCUUGGACGAGUUUUACAGUACUUUACAAGCUGUUGGUGUAUCAGCUGUUACUGGAGUUGGAACAGAAGAAUUUUUCAAAGCUGUGUUAAUUGCAAGAAAUGAAUAUGAAACAAUUUAUAAGACUGAAUAUGAACAGUUACUUAAGGAAAGGGAAGAAGCAAGAAAGGCUGAACAAGAACAACAAUUAGCUAAUUUGAAAAGGGAUUUGGGAAAAGGAAAAGACAUAACUUCUAUGUUUUAUACAGAACCCAGAUCUUCAGAAGUAUAUUUAUGUGCUGGAUCAGAUCAGGAAGAUACUUCUGAUGAAGAAAAAAGGCCAGAUUAUGAUAGUAAUGGUCAAGACCCUUUAGACUCGGCCUUCCACUUGUACAGUACAUUCUUCAACAUUCUGUUAAUUUGAGAUAUGUUGUUGGCUUGCAUCUAACAUUAUCCCUUCAAUCUAUUUUUAAUUAUUUUGCAAACUUUUGAGGAACAGGAGGAAGAAGAAUCAUUUAGAAAUUUUGUUGCUAAUUGGAAAAGUAGAAAAACACCAAAUACAUAGUUAAUAACAAAAUUUUAUGUAUAUAAUAUGUUAUAAAAAGUUUUUAAAUACAAAUAAAUUUUAUUUUU
Molecule: RNA transcript, 1387 nt
Organism: Centruroides sculpturatus (bark scorpion)
Lineage: Eukaryota; Metazoa; Arthropoda; Arachnida; Scorpiones; Buthidae
Gene name: GPN-loop GTPase 1-like
Exons: 13
Source: RefSeq, a predicted model, not a curated record